CGAACGCUGGCGGCGUGCUUAACACAUGCAAGUCGAACGGGUCUGCCCUGUUUUUUGCGGGGUGGGUCAGUGGCGAACGGGUGAGUAACACGUGAGUAACCUGCCCCUCACUUCUGGAUAACCGCUUGAAAGGGUGGCUAAUACGGGGUGUUCUGGCUGUGCCGCAUGGUGUGGCUGGGAAAGAUUCACUUUUGUGGUGUUUUGGUGGGGGAUGGGCUCGCGGCCUAUCAGCUUGUUGGUGGGGUGAUGGCCUGCCAAGGCUUUGACGGGUAGCCGGCCUGAGAGGGUGGGCGGUCACUGGGACUGAGAUACGGCCCAGACUCCUGCGGGAGGCAGCAGUGGGGGGUAUUGCACAAUGGGCGGAAGCCUGAUGCAGCGACGUCGCGUGAGGGAUGGAGGCCUUCGGGUUGUGAACCUCUUUCGCCGGUGAAGAAGGUCCUGCUCUUUGUGGUGGGGUUGACGGUAGCCGGGUUAUGAAGCGCCGGCUAACUACGUG
This 496-nucleotide ribosomal RNA is filed under the name uncultured bacterium. RNAcentral's name for it is "partial 16S ribosomal RNA". It matches the Rfam family "Bacterial small subunit ribosomal RNA", at positions 30 to 507 of the family's 1533-position model. The record is from RNAcentral.